Long non-coding RNA from Eupeodes corollae, 352 nucleotides. RefSeq lists it as uncharacterized. The record is from RefSeq and is a predicted model, not a curated record. The transcript has 3 exons. NCBI's taxonomy places the organism in Eukaryota, Metazoa, Arthropoda, Insecta, Diptera, Syrphidae.
UUUCUAAGGAACUUGUUUUUAAAUAAAAAUGAAGGUUUUAGAUUUUUAAAUCAUUAAUAGCUAUGUAGGUUCUGGUCUGGAUUUCACUUUCAAUCAAAUCGAAAUCGAAAUUGAAAAACAAAGUUUGGAACACCUAAAACAAAUGUAAUCGUUUGACAUUUGAUUUCUAGAACCUGGAAGUAUGUAAGUCUUUGAAAGCGAACAUUUCAAAAGGCAUACCUGGAGUUUGAAGGACCUUUGGGAAGUUAUUGUAAUGGGUCCGAUUGGUCAAAUUGAAAAUUUUGAAAUUUCUCGACGUUUCAAGGUCCCUAAAGUCGAAAUAAAAGAUUUUUAAAAAGAUGUCUGUGCGUGC